GACGAACGCUGGCGGCGUGCCUAAUACAUGCAAGUCGAGCGAACAGACGAGGAGCUUGCUCCUCUGACGUUAGCGGCGGACGGGUGAGUAACACGUGGAUAACCUACCUAUAAGACUGGGAUAACUUCGGGAAACCGGAGCUAAUACCGGAUAAUAUAUUGAACCGCAUGGUUCAAUAGAGAAAGACGGUUUUGCUGUCACUUAUAGAUGGAUCCGCGCCGCAUUAGCUAGUUGGUAAGGUAACGGCUUACCAAGGCAACGAUGCGUAGCCGACCUGAGAGGGUGAUCGGCCACACUGGAACUGAGACACGGUCCAGACUCCUACGGGAGGCAGCAGUAGAGAAUCUUACGCAAUGGGCGAGAGCCUGACGGAGCAACGCCGCGUGAGUGAUGAAGGUCUUCGGAUCGUAAAGCUCUGUUAUUAGGAAAGAACAAAUGUGUAAGUAACUAGGCAGGUCUUGACGGUACCUAAUCAGAAAGCCACGGCUAACUACGUG
This 497-nucleotide ribosomal RNA is filed under the name uncultured bacterium. RNAcentral's name for it is "partial 16S ribosomal RNA". It matches the Rfam family "Bacterial small subunit ribosomal RNA", at positions 28 to 507 of the family's 1533-position model. The record is from RNAcentral.